UGGGGAAUUUUGGACAAUGGGCGCAAGCCUGAUCCAGCCAUGCCGCGUGCAGGAUGAAGGCCUUCGGGUUGUAAACUGCCUUUGUACGGAACGAAAAGGUGCCUUCUAAUAAAGGGCGCUCAUGACGGUACCGUAAGAAUAAGCACCGGCUAACUACGUGCCAGCAGCCGCGGUAAUACGUAGGGUGCGAGCGUUAAUCGGAAUUACUGGGCGUAAAGCGUGCGCAGGCGGUUUUGUAAGACAGAGGUGAAAUCCCCGGGCUCAACCUGGGAACUGCCUUUGUGACUGCAAGGCUGGAGUGCGGCAGAGGGGGAUGGAAUUCCGCGUGUAGCAGUGAAAUGCGUAGAUAUGCGGAGGAACACCGAUGGCGAAGGCAAUCCCCUGGGCCUGCACUGACGCUCAUGCACGAAAGCGUGGGGAGCAAACA
This 427-nucleotide ribosomal RNA is filed under the name uncultured bacterium. RNAcentral describes it as "bacterial SSU rRNA". It matches the Rfam family "Bacterial small subunit ribosomal RNA", at positions 355 to 774 of the family's 1533-position model. The record is from RNAcentral.